GAGUUUGAUCGUGGCUCAGAGCGAACGCUGGCGGCAGGCUUAACACAUGCAAGUCGAGCGCCGUAGCAAUACGGAGCGGCAGACGGGUGAGUAACACGUGGGAACGUGCCUUUUGGUUCGGAAUAACUCAGGGAAACUUGAGCUAAUACCGAAUAAGCCCUUCGGGGAAAGAUUAUCGCCGAAAGAUCGGCCCGCGUAAGAUUAGCUUGUUGGUGAGGUAACGGCUCACCAAGGCUACGAUCUUUAGCUGGUCUGAGAGGAUGAUCAGCCACAUUGGGACUGAGACACGGCCCAAACUCCUACGGGAGGCAGCAGUGGGGAAUAUUGGACAAUGGGCGCAAGCCUGAUCCAGCCAUGCCGCGUGAGUGAUGAAGGCCUUAGGGUUGUAAAGCUCUUUUAGCGGAGACGAUAAUGACGGUAUCCGCAAGAAAAAAG
RNAcentral lists this ribosomal RNA (435 nucleotides) under uncultured Alphaproteobacteria bacterium. RNAcentral describes it as "bacterial SSU rRNA". It matches the Rfam family "Bacterial small subunit ribosomal RNA", at positions 9 to 492 of the family's 1533-position model. Lineage: Bacteria; Pseudomonadati; Pseudomonadota; Alphaproteobacteria. The record is from RNAcentral.